Molecule: long non-coding RNA, 1634 nt
Filed under: Salvia miltiorrhiza (redroot sage)
Lineage: Eukaryota; Viridiplantae; Streptophyta; Magnoliopsida; Lamiales; Lamiaceae
Description: long non-coding RNA (SMIL_LNC007138)
Source: RNAcentral
AGACCUCGAAUUACUACUAGACAUGCAUUUGCAAAUGUUUCCAUUUUCAUUAACUGUAAGUGUUACUUUUUUUAGAAGUAACAUUUACUUUUCCUGAACAAAAGUAUUACUUGAACAAAUAUUAAAGCGAAAACUAAAAGUGGUACUAAUCAUCACAGCUACAUAUUCAAAAACAUUUCAUAAUCAGCAUAAGAACUCCAAUUUAGUACCAAUUCAUACUAACAUCUAGUUAACCAAAUCAACAUAAGUAUAUUUACUUUUAAUUAGUAUAAAUUAUACAUUUGUAGACAAUAAUGUCUACAACAUGUAGACAUGGCGUGAAUUCUUGCAGAUUUGCAACAAUGGAUUUCUCCUAACUAGCUUGAACUCGUUGGAGAGGAGCAAUCUGGUGGCCUCCGCCCAACUCACUUCCACAUCCAUUGCAGAACGUCAAAAUGAAUCUCCUAGCUAUUUAUAAACAAGAUUCACAUCAAAAGCUAUAAUUAAAUUGAAUCACUUGUGUUGUGUCUCAAUCCCAACAAAAUUCUGUAAAUAAAAAGGCAUCGACAAUAAUAAACCAAAAAUAAUGAGAAAAUAAUACCUCAUGAGCUUGAAUCAACCCCGCCAUUGUAAUAAUUUUAAAACUUUACUUUUUCAUAUUAAUAGUUACUUUAUAUUACAAUAAUAAUUACUACUAUUCGACAAAAUUAGCACAAACAAAAAUUAUGAAACACAAUAAUUCAGAAAUAAACAAAAAAUUAUCCCUCAAAAUCAAAGCAACACAACACUAGCCAAGAUCCUCAAAAUCCUUCAUUCAUGCUGUUGCUUUUCCUGCUUUCUCUAUAACUCUUUAUUUUUUUUGGCCCUCAAAAUCUUCUUGUAAUUUAGUGGGAGUUAAAUAAAAAAACACGAUUUUGAGUGAGUUUGGUUAAAUUAACAAACAAAUUACAUAUGCAUUGAAGCAAGAGUUUUGAAAAAUUAAAAAAGAGAAUGGUUAGAGAGGAUUGGAAACGUCAAAGGGUGACAAAUGGAAAUGGUGAAGAAAAUGAGGUGGUGGGAGAGGAGGAGGUCCAGGUGUUGAUAAAGCUCUGACCCUUCAUUCAUGCUGCUGCUUUUGCUGCUUUCUCAAUAAUUACUUUCAAUGGUGUUCCUUUCCACUCUUGCUCAGCAUGCAGGUGCUUUACUGCUUUCUUCUCUCUUGCUCUUGUUCCACAUGGAGCAAUAAAAAUUAGCACCGGUUAUCUUUUCGGACCAGAUCCAACGGCGGCUGUCCCUGAAAAUUCGUCCCCUUCAAUACCACUAGAGUAGACGAAGCCGCUGGCAGCGGCGAUGCGGAGGAUCUGGCCAUCCUUUUGAGGACGGAGGAGACGCAGCGGUAGGAGGCGGGGUCUGCGUCGACUUAGCUCGCCGGAGAUGGAGAAACAGCAACGUGAAGCGAGGAAGGAGAAGGGGAGGCGUGAAUGAUAAGGGAGGAAGAGAGAGAGAGAGAGAUCUGUGCUUCUUGAGAGAGAAGUAGAACCGAGAAACAGCGAAAAAUAGGAAUUAGGAAUUAGGUUUAAACUGGAAGGGGGCAGGCUUGGGCGGUGGGCCGGGUAUCUAAUCGGGCCGGGCGAACCCGUCGCAUGUUGUGCGACGGUCGCACGCAAUAAUUUGCG